This 916-nucleotide ribosomal RNA is filed under the name Capnodiales sp. CN-Cre-Bo2-1. RNAcentral describes it as "eukaryotic LSU rRNA". It matches the Rfam family "Eukaryotic large subunit ribosomal RNA", at positions 1 to 940 of the family's 3401-position model. The record is from RNAcentral. Lineage: Eukaryota; Fungi; Ascomycota; Dothideomycetes; Capnodiales.
UUGACCUCGGAUCAGGUGGGGAUACCCGCUGAACUUAAGCAUAUCAAUAAGCGGAGGAAAAGAAACCAACGGGGAUUGCCCUAGUAACGGCGAGUGAAGCGGCAAAAGCUCAGAUUUGAAAUCUGGCGUCUUUGGCGUCCGAGUUGUAAUCUGUAGAGGAUGCCUUUGGGUAGCCACCGGUCUAAGUCCCCUGGAACGGGGCGUCGCAGAGGGUGAGAAUCCCGUAUGUGACCGGAAGGGCACCCUCCACAUGGCUCCUUCGACGAGUCGAGUUGUUUGGGAAUGCAGCUCUAAAUGGGAGGUAAAUUCCUUCUAAAGCUAAAUACCGGCCAGAGACCGAUAGCGCACAAGUAGAGUGAUCGAAAGAUGAAAAGCACUUUGGAAAGAGAGUUAAAAAGCACGUGAAAUUGUUGAAAGGGAAGCGCUUGCAACCAGACUUGUUGGCGGUGUUCCGCCGGUCUUCUGACCGGUUCAUUCGCCGCCUGCAGGCCAGCAUCAUCUGGGGCCGCCGGAUAAAAGCGGUGGGAAUGUAGCUCCCUCGGGAGUGUUAUAGCCCUCCGUGUAAUACGGCGCGUCCCGGGUGAGGUCCGCGCUUCGGCUAGGAUGCUGGCGUAAUGGUCGUAAGCGGCCCGUCUUGAAACACGGACCAAGGAGUCUAACAUCUAUGCGAGUGUUCGGGUGUCAAACCCCUACGCGUAAUGAAAGUGAACGGAGGUGGGAACCUUAGGGUGCACCAUCGACCGAUCCUGAUGUCUUCGGAUGGAUUUGAGUAAGAGCAUAGCUGUUGGGACCCGAAAGAUGGUGAACUAUGCCUGGAUAGGGUGAAGCCAGAGGAAACUCUGGUGGAGGCUCGCAGCGGUUCUGACGUGCAAAUCGAUCGUCAAAUUUGGGUAUAGGGGCGAAAGACUAAUCGAAC